This is a long non-coding RNA of Mauremys mutica (yellowpond turtle), 524 nucleotides long. RefSeq lists it as uncharacterized. The record is from RefSeq and is a predicted model, not a curated record. NCBI's taxonomy places the organism in Eukaryota, Metazoa, Chordata, Testudines, Geoemydidae. The transcript has 3 exons.
GAACAGAUCAGACCACCCGACUCUGGUAUCCUGCCUGAGUUACUGGAUGAGACCUCUGGUCCUUCUAUGCUUGUCUUGUAUAUAGAGGCCAAGGCUUGAUGCUUAUGGGGAAGAGGCAGUGUUUGCACCACUACUACCUGUGCUCACCUGGCCAGAAUGUUCCCGACAAAUAUCCUGGUUUGUUUUGAAGACACUCCAACUAUAGCAUAUUGGCUUGCGGCACACCAUGGCCUGCACUUUGCCCUGGACUAGCUUCCCAUAUGUGUACCUGGUUUAGAAGAGAGAACAGCAAGACUCAUUGACACAGAUAAUCUCAAAUCGACAGCCCUGAUGGGCAAACAAACGUCAGUCAAUGGCCCUGGCCGGCAGCCAUGCACUCAUCAUAUCUCAAAGGUUCUGAGUGACUCAGCUUCAUGGCUGAGCUGGACAUGCCUGAUGAAGGAUUGGAAUCACUGAACUAUGAGCAAGGGACUGGAGCUACAGAUCAGAUCAGCUCUCCUGGAAGUGCAGAACACUAACCCCUG